Molecule: long non-coding RNA, 1502 nt
Organism: Xenia sp. Carnegie-2017
Lineage: Eukaryota; Metazoa; Cnidaria; Anthozoa; Malacalcyonacea; Xeniidae
Exons: 5
Source: RefSeq, a predicted model, not a curated record
CCUAGUACAGACAGAUUGAGGAACAGAGAAUACUAUUUUGGCAGCGAUGCAAUGUAGCCUUGUUGGUGGUGAGCAAGGGCAUCGUUAUUCAUCAUCUCAUGCUAAUCAAUGGAUUGAGAACUGGUGGUCUCACUGUAGAAAAGGAUUUUCUGGAUGGGUUAUCAAUCAUUUUAAACAUCUUGUUCAUGAAAGAAAGCUUGCAUUGGGAAAUCACUUGCAGAUGGAAUGUAUUUGGUUUGUUUAUUCAGAGUUUUUACAGUCAAAACUUAACAAGGUAAAGCAACAAUGGAACACACAUUGCAUACGGCAUUUCAGAGACACCUUGAUUUCGGGUGUACCUGAUGAUCUUUUUUUUCUUCCUGAAAGCACUGGACAUAGGAACUGCACAAUCACUGUUUCUGAUAACAAUGUUUGUGGUAUAUUGAACCAGAGAGAUGUAUACACAGAAUGAGAAUUGGAAAUGGAUGAAAAUGAUAUAGAAUUGAUGGAUUACUUCAGGAGGGAUAGUACAAGCACCAACAGAGAAUGUGGUGGAUUCUCAGUGAGAUUGUAGAAGGAUUAGUUCACGUUCAUUCAUAGGGUAUUAUGAUUCAAGUAAACCUUUUUGGACAUUUUUGGGUUUGCUUGAAAACUGCCACUCAAGGCUUCCACUUGAAAAUAUGAAGAUCAUAAGAAAAAACAAGCAUUAAAGUGACGAAGAAUUUAUAGCUACUGUUUUUUAAUGUCAUAUACUUUGUAUAGAUGUCUAUAUCCGGAGAACGGUAACCAAUGCUUGGCACAGCAGCUUCUUGGACAUCGUUUUAUCUCUCCAAAUCCCAUGUCGUACGGUUUAGCAAAUAACAUCACUUCAGAUAAGCUUGACGCUGAAAAAGAUCAAGGGAGAAAUCAAAAUAGCUGUUAUGAUGGAGAUGAGUAUCCUUAUUUGAUGCCUAUUCCUUUCGGCUACGCUGCGAGAAAUGCAAGAGUUCGAAAUGAAUUUGAGGUGUUGCAAAUGCUUAAAAAAAGGAGGGUUUGCUUCAGUUGUCAAGGUACGUAAUGAAUUGGACGGCUGUCUCUAUGCGAUCAAAAGAAUUGCUUUGAUUCCGAAAAGUGUGCUGUUUAAUCGCAAAAUUACUCGAGGAGAGAAGUUACUUUCUAGAUUGAAUCAUGAAAAUAUUAUAAGGUUCAUAAAACCAUCUUUUAUUGCUACAAACACUUUAUCUGACAUCAUUGAGAAAUGGCAAACUUGUGAUUCAAAUAUGGACAACUUUGUGUAAAGCUUAAGGUACCAAACACUUGUCUUUCAUAUCUGUGCAUGCAAAGCAAAAAAAAGACUUUCUUUGGUGAACGUGUUUGAAUUGCACUUUGUUUUAAUACUGAUGUGUGUUACAUGUUUGACUUAAACAAUUUUAACAACUUACAAGACAUUUUAAGUCCAAUAACUAUGUAUUUUUCCUGUUAAGAUAUACGAUUUGUCUUAUCAGAAUAUGCUAUAAAGAUAUUAAACUGUCCGAGGUGCCUUA